Molecule: long non-coding RNA, 416 nt
Organism: Cheilinus undulatus (humphead wrasse)
Lineage: Eukaryota; Metazoa; Chordata; Actinopteri; Labriformes; Labridae
Exons: 3
Source: RefSeq, a predicted model, not a curated record
GAGAAGCUGCAGACGGACUCUUCAGAAUCCUUUAAGGAUUUACACCGCAAAGCUUCGCGUAUUUUUUCAGUGAACAACUGUAGAAGAAAAUCUGAAGUUUGACUGCUAUUACCGGCGAAGGAAUGGAGUGACCAGGAAAGGUUUCAUCAGCGUUUAUCGGGACUUGAUGCACGCAUGACACUUGGAAGAAAACGCUGCGGAAUGCAUGAACAUUAGCGAAGUGUAUGGAGGAACGACGCCACUUCAGGCCCAGCCUCCAGACAGAUCUGGCAGCUCAGACACAUCUGGUACCUACACCGGCCGAGGCAGACGACCGUCCUGAUCCCUGGAUUGGCUGUCGCUCAGUUCAUUGUCUGUUUCAGCCAAUCAGAGCAACAAAGCACGUGAUGUAGCCACUAGCAAGCUGCGCGUGUGCA